RNAcentral lists this ribosomal RNA (465 nucleotides) under Vreelandella stevensii. RNAcentral describes it as "partial 16S ribosomal RNA". It matches the Rfam family "Bacterial small subunit ribosomal RNA", at positions 338 to 795 of the family's 1533-position model. The record is from RNAcentral. Lineage: Bacteria; Pseudomonadati; Pseudomonadota; Gammaproteobacteria; Oceanospirillales; Halomonadaceae.
CCUACGGGGGGCUGCAGUGGGGAAUAUUGGACAAUGGGGGGAACCCCGAUCCAGCCAUGCCGCGUGUGUGAAGAAGGCCCUCGGGUUGUAAAGCACUUUCAGUGAGGAAGAACGCCUGGUGGUUAAUACCCAUCAGGAAAGACAUCACUCACAGAAGAAGCACCGGCUAACUCCGUGCCAGCAGCCGCGGUAAUACGGAGGGUGCGAGCGUUAAUCGGAAUUACUGGGCGUAAAGCGCGCGUAGGUGGCUUGAUAAGCCGGUUGUGAAAGCCCCGGGCUCAACCUGGGAACGGCAUCCGGAACUGUCAAGCUAGAGUGCAGGAGAGGAAGGUAGAAUUCCCGGUGUAGCGGUGAAAUGCGUAGAGAUCGGGAGGAAUACCAGUGGCGAAGGCGGCCUUCUGGACUGACACUGACACUGAGGUGCGAAAGCGUGGGUAGCAAACAGGAUUAGAUACCCGAGUAGUC